GAUGAACGCUAGUCGGCAGGCUUAACACAUGCAAGUCGAGGGGCAGCAUAAUGGUAGUAAUACUAUUGAUGGCGACCGGCGGACGGGUGCGUAACGCGUAUGCAACCUACCCUUUACAGGGGGAUAACACUGAGAAAUCGGUACUAAUACCCCAUAAUAUUCUGGGAGGCAUCUUCGGAGUUGAAAGCUUUGGUGGUAAAGGAUGGGCAUGCGUUCCAUUAGGCAGUUGGCGGGGUAACGGCCCACCAAACCGACGAUGGAUAGGGGUUCUGAGAGGAAGGUCCCCCACAUUGGUACUGAGACACGGACCAAACUCCUACGGGAGGCAGCAGUGAGGAAUAUUGGCCAAUGGCCGAGAGGCUGAACCAGCCAAGUCGCGUGAGGGAUGAAGGUUCUAUGGAUCGUAAACCUCUUUUAUAAGGGAAUAAAGUGCGGGACGUGUCCCGUUUUGUAUGUACCUUAUGAAUAAGGAUCGGCUAACUCCGUG
RNAcentral lists this ribosomal RNA (487 nucleotides) under uncultured bacterium. RNAcentral's name for it is "bacterial SSU rRNA". It matches the Rfam family "Bacterial small subunit ribosomal RNA", at positions 28 to 507 of the family's 1533-position model. The record is from RNAcentral.